GGUGAGUAACACGUGGGAACGUGCCUUUAGGUUCGGAAUAGCUCCUGGAAACGGGUGGUAAUGCCGAAUGUGCCCUUCGGGGGAAAGAUUUAUCGCCUUUAGAGCGGCCCGCGUCUGAUUAGCUAGUUGGUAGUGUAAUGGACUACCAAGGCUACGAUCAGUAGCUGGUCUGAGAGGAUGAUCAGCCACAUUGGGACUGAGACACGGCCCAAACUCCUACGGGAGGCAGCAGUGGGGAAUCUUGCGCAAUGGGCGAAAGCCUGACGCAGCCAUGCCGCGUGAAUGAUGAAGGUCUUAGGAUUGUAAAAUUCUUUCACCGGGGACGAUAAUGACGGUACCCGGAGAAGAAGCCCCGGCUAACUUCGUGCCAGCAGCCGCGGUAAUACGAAGGGGGCUAGCGUUGCUCGGAAUUACUGGGCGUAAAGGGAGCGUAGGCGGACAUUUAAGUCAGGGGUGAAAUCCCGGGGCUCAACCUCGGAAUUGCCUUUGAUACUGGGUGUCUUGAGUGUGAGAGAGGUAUGUGGAACUCCGAGUGUAGAGGUGAAAUUCGUAGAUAUUCGGAAGAACACCAGUGGCGAAGGCGACAUACUGGCUCAUUACUGACGCUGAGGCUCGAAAGCGUGGGGAGCAAACAGGAUUAGAUACCCUGGUAGUCCACGCCGUAAACGAUGAUUGCUAGUUGUUGGGAAGUUUACUUCUCGGUGACGCAGCUAACGCAUUAAGCAAUCCGCCUGGGGAGUACGGUCGCAAGAUUAAAACUCAA
RNAcentral lists this ribosomal RNA (763 nucleotides) under Brevundimonas poindexterae. RNAcentral describes it as "bacterial SSU rRNA". It matches the Rfam family "Bacterial small subunit ribosomal RNA", at positions 105 to 904 of the family's 1533-position model. Lineage: Bacteria; Pseudomonadati; Pseudomonadota; Alphaproteobacteria; Caulobacterales; Caulobacteraceae. The record is from RNAcentral.